CGGUGAAAACAGGGCGCCUGGGGCGUUUUGAUCAAGGCUCUUGAAAUUCGCUUUCGUGGAGCACGUGACCGAGAUUUCGACUUGGCCCAUGGGUGGUUUUUUAGCUAUUACCUGCUACGGUGAACCAGAAUUUAAUUUAUACAUUCAUUGCGCGGCUGUUACAAAGAGUGAUACACACACAUUGGGCACACUCUGAACUAAGGAACUAAUAGUGUUAGAGAGAGAGGAAGAGUGUUGUUGUUGAGUUUUGCUGUUUUAUGAAUGUUUAAUGUGUUUUUAACUACCUCAAUCUCGCUUUUACAAUAUCUGAGACAUGAACAUGUUGAAGAUGCAGAAUGGCUCUGCCCCGUGUGCCGCAGCAAGCCACAGCCUGCCGGAGAGAGCACAUCAACCAUGCUUUAUUUCACGUGUUACCUAGUUAUAACUUAUAUUAUAUCUGUGUCGAACAAAUUAAGUAUUAACUGAUGGAAAUCUGACCACUUGCGCAACCCAUCUUCUCACAGCAUGGACAUCCGGAGAGAACUAUGCGGCAUGACAAACUCUACGAGCACUGGUGGUUCCUCCCUGCCGUCUCACGGCAGCGGCGCGACGGUGUCGAGAACAGUGGCUUGGUCAGCGUGGAAUCCGGCGAAGCGCUGCGCGCUGAGGGUGGGUGAUAGAUGACCGGUCACUGAACAAUGAAGCGAGUCAGAUCAUUGGGCGCAGUGAUUACCAGCCACGCAUCGCGGCUGGUCCGCGGAAGUUAUUGCUUUGAUGUCGGACUAAGUCACACAAUGUUUUGUCACAUUCUAGAGUGAUGCUGAGUGCUGACAAUGGAAUGCAUCGCUAAUUUGCUUCCGAUGCUGCCUUAACGGUGAUAUGAGAUGCGUGAUAAACCGUUUGUUUGUUUGUUUGUUUGUUUGUUUGUUUGUUUGUUUCGUUGGGUUAGGCCCUUUCGGUCCGAUGAGACCAUUGCAGAGCCGGGAGGAUGAUAUGACUUGGGGGGAGGGGGCAUGGGGCGAGCACCCUAGUGAGUCGCCGGGGCUGAGCCCAUUUAAAUGGGCAGGCCACCCAGCCCCCAGGCUACGGGCGUGCUCGGCUUAUGGGCAAUCCCGCAUGGAAUAAAGUUGCCCGUCCAGCCCGGACCAGGGGGUUGAGGCGUGGAGAAGAAGGG
Molecule: long non-coding RNA, 1153 nt
Organism: Amphibalanus amphitrite
Lineage: Eukaryota; Metazoa; Arthropoda; Thecostraca; Balanomorpha; Balanidae
Exons: 2
Source: RefSeq, a predicted model, not a curated record